Long non-coding RNA from Centrocercus urophasianus (Greater sage-grouse), 1058 nucleotides. RefSeq lists it as uncharacterized. Lineage: Eukaryota; Metazoa; Chordata; Aves; Galliformes; Phasianidae. The transcript has 5 exons. The record is from RefSeq and is a predicted model, not a curated record.
GUGGGACUAUGCCAAACUCUUCAGAAGCUACAAAAAGAGGAAUCUGUGCCCUCCUGGUCGGUAGAUUUUUCUAACGUAGUGAUGGAUUUUCAGCUUCAGACUAUGCAUGGCCUAGAGAAGGAAGUACUCCCUUGGCUUUAUAAAACAUGUAGAAGAGUGCAUGGAGAGUAAAUCAUCCAAGGACAGUCCUUCAAGAUGCUGCUGGAGUGCCAGUUUGACUUUCUUCCCAGCAGAUGACGUAUGACAGGGACAAGGAUCCAUUUUGGAGAAGAAGGGUGGUCAGAUUUGGUAGUUCAGCAUAUCAAGGACUGCACUGGUAUAACAAGCAGUGAAGCUCAUGGGAAAUGCAUCAGUUCUCAUUCCGAGUCUGGCUAACAAAGAUACGAACACUUAAUUAAGAUUUCUUUCAUCUCAUGAAAAUAGCUCUGAAGAUCUGAGCCUGACAUGAGAGCUGCCAGCAAGACUAGCAAAAGCAAAGUUUCCAGCUGUGGAAGAUCUUCAUUCAAGAACUUGCCCUCACAAACCACAUUUCUUUAAAUUGUGAGUGGGAUCUAGGUGCUUCUAAGUGGAUGACCUAACUCAAGCAAGAAACUCUUCUGACCCACUCUGGUCCUCUCAAUUCCUCUCUUGCACAUGGAGAGACCUACAGGAGGGAGAGCCUCUUUGCUCGGCAAGGAACGAUGGAAUCAGUUCAGUUGUGAAUGCUGCAGAAACAGUUGGCUCAGGCUUCCCAACAUGCCAUCUGUGAGAAAACAGAUAUUUUAGGUGACUGAUUCAAAAAAAUGCACAUUCUUUUAAUAUUUAUUUACAUACUUACAUUUAUAUUGAUUAAAAUCAGUCCGGUUUAGUUACAUUGAAUUAGUCUGUUGAUAAUUAAGCAUCUGUGAACAGGGAACAUUAGGAGCACUGAAGAAACAAACAAUAGUUUAUAACAGGAUCAUUACAGCAGUCUUAGCAGCACUUACAACAUGUUUAUUCAAAAAUGAAAUAUGCCCUAAGGAAGAAAAACGUCGAUUAUGGAACAUGAGGGAUUUAAAAUAAAAAAGGUCAGUUUUAAA